GCAUAUCAAUAAGCGGAGGAAAAGAAACCAACAGGGAUUGCCCUAGUAACGGCGAGUGAAGCGGCAACAGCUCAAAUUUGAAAUCUGGCCCUUGCAGGGUCCGAGUUGUAAUUUGCAGAGGGCGCUUUGGCGUUGGCAGCGGUCCAAGUUCUUUGGAACAGGACGUCACAGAGGGUGAGAAUCCCGUACGUGGUCGCUAUCCUUCGCCGUGUAAAGCCCCUUCGACGAGUCGAGUUGUUUGGGAAUGCAGCUCUAAAUGGGAGGUAAAUUUCUUCUAAAGCUAAAUACUGGCCAGAGACCGAUAGCGCACAAGUAGAGUGAUCGAAAGAUGAAAAGCACUUUGGAAAGAGAGUCAAAUAGCACGUGAAAUUGUUGAAAGGGAAGCGCUUGCAGCCAGACUUGCCUGUAGUUGCUUAUCUGGACUUUUGUCCGGUGCACUCUUCUAUAGGCAGGCCAGCAUCAGUUUGGGCAGUUGGAUAAAGGUCUCUGUCACGUACCUCUCUUCGGGGAGAACUUAUAGGGGAGACGACAUGCAACUAGCCUGGACUGAGGUCCGCGCAUCUGCUAGGAUGCUGGCGUAAUGGCUGUAAGCGGCCCGUCUUGAAACACGGACCAAGGAGUCUAACAUCUAUGCGAGUGUUUGGGUGUCAAGCCCAGACGCGUAAUGAAAGUGAACGGAGGUGGGACCCCUUUGGGUGCACCAUCGACCGAUCCUGAUGUCUUCGGAAGGAUUUGAGUAAGAGCAUGGCUGUUGGGACCCGAAAGAUGGUGAACUAUGCUUGAAUAGGGUGAAGCCAGAGGAAACUCUGGUGGAGGCUCGCAGCGGUUCUGACGUGCAAAUCGAUCGUCAAAUUUGGGCAUAGGGGCGAAAGACUAAUCGAACUAUCUAGUAGCUGGUUCCUGCCGA
This 907-nucleotide ribosomal RNA is filed under the name Phaeosphaeria lutea. RNAcentral describes it as "LSU rRNA". It matches the Rfam family "Eukaryotic large subunit ribosomal RNA", at positions 38 to 964 of the family's 3401-position model. Lineage: Eukaryota; Fungi; Ascomycota; Dothideomycetes; Pleosporales; Phaeosphaeriaceae. The record is from RNAcentral.